UACGUAGGGCGCGAGCGUUGUCCGGAAUCAUUGGGCGUAAAGAGCUCGUAGGCGGCCUGUCGCGUCUGCUGUGAAAUCCCGGGGCUUAACCCCGGGCGUGCAGUGGAUACGGGCUGGCUGGAGGCAGGCAGGGGAGAACGGAAUUCCCGGUGUAGCGGUGAAAUGCGUAGAUAUCGUGAGGAAGGCCAGUGGCGAAGGCGGCUCUCUGGACAGGACCUGACGCUGAGGCACGAAGGCUAGGGGAGCAAACGGG
RNAcentral lists this ribosomal RNA (253 nucleotides) under uncultured bacterium. RNAcentral's name for it is "partial 16S ribosomal RNA". It matches the Rfam family "Bacterial small subunit ribosomal RNA", at positions 524 to 776 of the family's 1533-position model. The record is from RNAcentral.